AAUUUCUAUCAUUUUAGAUCAAGAAUUACAAAAUCCGAGCCUAGACCAGGGAAAAGCAAAAUAAGUGGACUAAGCUGAACUAGUCAUCCACAUUUUGUAAUCCGAGGUAAGUUGUAUGUAAAUAAUGCAACUAUAAUGUUAUUAUAUGUGUUUGAAUUGAUAUAGCAUAAAUUUCUUGUUUGUGGAAAUGAUUAUGUAUGAUGAAUAUUGAGAUAGUAGAACUUGCGUUCAUACCUUAGGAAAUU
This 245-nucleotide long non-coding RNA is filed under the name Gossypium barbadense (sea-island cotton). RNAcentral describes it as "long non-coding RNA (GBAR_LNC002455)". The record is from RNAcentral. Lineage: Eukaryota; Viridiplantae; Streptophyta; Magnoliopsida; Malvales; Malvaceae.